UGCUGUCACUUAUAGAUGGAUCCGCGCUGCAUUAGCUAGUUGGUAAGGUAACGGCUUACCAAGGCAACGAUGCAUAGCCGACCUGAGAGGGUGAUCGGCCACACUGGAACUGAGACACGGUCCAGACUCCUACGGGAGGCAGCAGUAGGGAAUCUUCCGCAAUGGGCGAAAGCCUGACGGAGCAACGCCGCGUGAGUGAUGAAGGUCUUCGGAUCGUAAAACUCUGUUAUUAGGGAAGAACAUAUGUGUAAGUAACUGUGCACAUCUUGACGGUACCUAAUCAGAAAGCCACGGCUAACUACGUGCCAGCAGCCGCGGUAAUACGUAGGUGGCAAGCGUUAUCCGGAAUUAUUG
RNAcentral lists this ribosomal RNA (354 nucleotides) under Staphylococcus aureus. Its description in RNAcentral is "bacterial SSU rRNA". It matches the Rfam family "Bacterial small subunit ribosomal RNA", at positions 210 to 556 of the family's 1533-position model. Lineage: Bacteria; Bacillati; Bacillota; Bacilli; Caryophanales; Staphylococcaceae. The record is from RNAcentral.